CUGCUGCCUGCCUCGCAAUCACAAGGGCCCAAGUUCGAACCCUGGUACAAAAAAAAAUUAGACCUGGCCCAGGAUGGUGCCUUAUCUGAGCCUAAAAGAAAAAUUCAGCCACAAGUAGGGACGCAGCUCAGAGAAAGUGGAAGAAAAGCCAGGGCCUAUCCCUUCCAAUUCCUCCCUUACCUGAGGCCAGGCUCACAACUCUGCCCCAAAGCCACCACCACCACCACCACCACCCUCCACCCCAUCUCCCUCUCAGACCCCAGUCCCCCACAACCCACUGGUCUCCAGGCAACAGCACAAAAGGAAAGUGGAGAGAGGGGCCUUGGGAGGCCCAGGCAGAGCCAGCUGUAACCCAGUCCAACCCACUACCUGUUAGAGAAGGAGACCUAGCAGAGUGAGGGCAGAAUGGACUGCAGUUAAGAAAGAUGGCUCCAACUACAAGAGUCCUGGCUAGCCUGAGGGUUCCUGAGGAAGGUUGAAGGUCAUGGGCCCCAGAGAAGACUGAGAGCCACAGAAAGUGCUGUGAGCCCCAAGGGACAUGGAAAGGGGUGCUAGAAGGGAGAGAGGAAAUGCCUACAUGGAAAAAUUGAGGCAUGGGAAAGGAGAGGGCGGCAAGCAGCUCUGAACUGAAAAUGGCAGAGGCAGGCGUCAGGGACCCAGGAAUAACAGCAGAGGCGUGGGCCCUGCCCAUACUCAUCUGGAAUCUUCUUUGAGCCCUGGAGCAUGCUGCAUGGCAGCAGCCAGAACAAAACUCUGUAGAAGCAGAGGCAGGCCCCCAGAGGGUACAGCCUUGAAAUGCUGCCCACCCGGUGUGGGCGGGGCCUCCCCUGCGAUGUCCUGCAGGGCUCCGACGCCCCCUAGUGGUCGCAGAGACCCCCUGAGCCCGUUUGUCCCCGAGUGGUCCCGUCCCUGCUGCAGAGCAGCUUGUUGCUGGGUCUGUGUCGCCACCGUCCAUCCAGGCCCCGGCCUGCUGAGCUCUGCAGUCCCGAGGAGUCCUCAGUUUGUUGGAGGACUCAGUUGUCUCAGCACCCCCUCUACACCCCUGGUACCAUCCUUCCCUCCCCAGCUUUCCAUCCUACAAGGGCUGAUGGCCAUGGGAUCUUCAGCCUUAGAACUAGCCAGGAUUUUGGGGAUAGAAGCCCAGCCAUGAACGCCUUACCCACUCUGGCAGGGCGUCUGGGAAUCUGGAAACUCUUUAGACUAUUUUCCUCCCAAAUUCUCCCAACUAAGUACAUAUCGUGUCUAUUUCAGGGGGAUCCAGGACUCCAGGUUGAGAAUGCCUGGCACCCUGGGCCCUGGAGCCAGGCCUGCUGCGGAGAAGGCAGGGCCAGCAUGGGCCCCACGUCGCCAGUACUGGUGAUAGGACCUAGGACUGUCCACUGAGCUAUACCCCAGCACUGAAAUCUACUGCUGAAACUUCCCAGAUGCCCUGCAACACCUGACAGAGACCCACCUAGGCCUAGAACCCACUGAUGCCACCAAGACACCCCACAGGCUGCCCCUCACCUGGCCAGUGCACAGCCCCACCACCAGGUCCGCGAUGAAGGUGUCCUCGGUCUCUCCCGAGCGGUGGCUCACCAUGACGCCCCAACCAUUCUCCUGUGCCAGCUUGCACCUGUGCCCAGACAUCUGCCCUGAGCCCACCCCACACACCUGUGUGUCCAGCCCCACCCACCCUUGGUCUGGGGAGGGGCCAGAAA
Fukomys damarensis (Damara mole-rat) is the source of this 1700-nucleotide long non-coding RNA. RefSeq lists it as uncharacterized. The record is from RefSeq and is a predicted model, not a curated record. The transcript has 2 exons. Lineage: Eukaryota; Metazoa; Chordata; Mammalia; Rodentia; Bathyergidae.